Molecule: long non-coding RNA, 1070 nt
Organism: Drosophila virilis
Lineage: Eukaryota; Metazoa; Arthropoda; Insecta; Diptera; Drosophilidae
Source: RefSeq, a predicted model, not a curated record
UUUAUUAUUAUAUGCACAUAUUUUUUUUUUAUAAAGUUCACUGAGCUCUUGAACUUCUGUUGAACUUUUUAUGGCACAAUUCUUGUUUUGUAUAUUUUUCUUUUUCAAUAAAAUAAAUUGCGCAAAAACGUCGAGCGAAAGUGAAAACACAGCGAGAUACAAAUAAAAUAUAACUAAAUCGCGUUGGCCCAAACCAAAAAUCAAACUAAAUCAAUCGAAAUCGCGCCGGGCACCAAGUCGCGGGGGGGGGGAGUUGAACGCCGAACGCCGAGCGCCAAUGCAAAGAUUGAAUUAAGCUCGGCAGAGACAGCGACAGCGACGUCGACGUCGCAGUUAACGUCGCAGUUAGCUUUCGAUAGAGCCUGAGCUGGCGAUAUGCGCGCAUGACGUCACUGGCGAUUUAUUUUUAGUGGCCAACCCAGGUCGGCGGUUUCCGUUCCUUAUCAAUGUGUGACGCGAGCGCCGAUUACAGGAAUGCGACGCGCAGCGUAGCGACAGCAGAGGCUGCAGCAGCGAACGUACCAAAUACACCUAUUGCAGAAGCGUCGCGCCGACUACUGAACAACAGCAGCAGCAGCAGCAGCAGCAUAAGCACUCGCCGGUAUCCGAAGCUUCAAUACCCAAACCCCAACCCAAACCAAGUUCCAUUUCUGACAAAGAAAAAUCACAUGCACACAACACCAGGCCAAAAUAUUCAUGUGUUUCUGCUGGGGCUGCUUAUCGUGGGGACCGAAACGUGUGUGUGAAAGAGAGAGCGAGGGGUAGAGAGCGGCAGCGAGAGUCAGCGGCGCGAUAAGCUCAACAAGCUCAGGUAACACAACCCACCACUGUCCAGGUAAACAAAGCUAUCUAACACCAGUGCCGGCUCCAAGGCAAAACAUUCUCGUAUAAAUCGCCCAAAAUAAUAAAUUUUGAAAGUUAUUCAAAAUUCAUUAUAUCAAAUGCCAAAAAAGAAAAGUUUUAUCUGAAUCUUAAGUUGGGAAUGUUUGUUACAUUUUACGGAUUUUACAUACACAAUGGAAAGAAGCCUCAAAUAACUCACAUAUGCAUUAAAAAAGAAUUCAUAAAAA